RNAcentral lists this ribosomal RNA (234 nucleotides) under uncultured bacterium. Its description in RNAcentral is "partial 16S ribosomal RNA". It matches the Rfam family "Bacterial small subunit ribosomal RNA", at positions 46 to 307 of the family's 1533-position model. The record is from RNAcentral.
AGGCCUAACACAUGCAAGUCGAGCGCCCCGCAAGGGGAGCGGCAGACGGGAGAGUAACACGUGGGAACGUACCCUUCAGUUCGGAACAACCCCAGGGAAACUUGGGCUAAUACCGAAUACGUCCGUAAGGAGAAAGAUUUAUCGCUGAAGGAUCGGCCCGCGUCUGAUUAGCUAGUUGGUGGGGUAACGGCCCACCAAGGCUACGAUCAGUAGCUGGUCUGAGAGGAUGAUCAG